Molecule: ribosomal RNA, 402 nt
Filed under: uncultured bacterium
Lineage: Bacteria
Description: bacterial SSU rRNA
Rfam family: Bacterial small subunit ribosomal RNA
Source: RNAcentral
UGGGGAAUCUUGCACAAUGGGGGCAACCCUGAUGCAGCGAUGCCGCGUGAGCGAUGAAGCCCUUCGGGGCGUAAAGCCCUUUCGACCGGAACGAUAAUGACGGUACCGGGAGAAGAAGCUGCGGCUAACUACGUGCCAGCAGCCGCGGUAAUACGUAGGCAGCAAGCGUUGUUCGGAGUUACUGGGCGUAAAGAGUGCGUAGGCGGUUUUCUAAGUUCGGUGUGAAAUCUCCCGGCUUAACUGGGAGGGUGCGCCGAAGACUGGGAAGCUGGAGUGUGGGAAAGGCAGGCGGAAUUCCUGGUGUAGCGGUGAAAUGCGUAGAUAUCAGGAGGAACACCGGCGGUGUAGACGGCUUGCUAAACCAUAACUGACGCUGAGGCACGAAAGCGUGGGUAGCAAACA